RNAcentral lists this ribosomal RNA (478 nucleotides) under uncultured bacterium. Its description in RNAcentral is "partial 16S ribosomal RNA". It matches the Rfam family "Bacterial small subunit ribosomal RNA", at positions 28 to 507 of the family's 1533-position model. The record is from RNAcentral.
GAUGAACGCUAGCGGCAGGCCUAACACAUGCAAGUCGAGGGAGAAGCCCUUUCGGGGGCAGAAACCGGCGCACGGGUGCGUAACGCGUAUGCAACCUACCUUUCACAGGGGGAUAGCCCGAAGAAAUUUGGAUUAAUACCCCAUAAUAUUAUUGGAUGGCAUCAUUUGAUAAUUAAAACUGCGGUGGUGAAAGAUGGGCAUGCGUCCUAUUAGCUAGUUGGAGUGGUAACGGCACCCCAAGGCUACGAUAGGUAGGGGUCCUGAGAGGGAGAUCCCCCACACUGGUACUGAGACAGGGACCAGACUCCUACGGGAGGCAGCAGUGAGGAAUAUUGGUCAAUGGUCGGAAGACUGAACCAGCCAUGCCGCGUGCAGGAAGAAUGCCUUAUGGGUUGUAAACUGCUUUUAUAUGGGAAGAAUAAGGCGUACGUGUACGUUGAUGACGGUACCAUAUGAAUAAGCAUCGGCUAACUCCGUG